This 255-nucleotide ribosomal RNA is filed under the name uncultured bacterium. RNAcentral's name for it is "partial 16S ribosomal RNA". It matches the Rfam family "Bacterial small subunit ribosomal RNA", at positions 334 to 606 of the family's 1533-position model. The record is from RNAcentral.
UACCCUACGGGAGGCAGCAGUGGGGAAUAUUGCACAAUGGGGGAAACCCUGAUGCAGCGACGCCGCGUGAGUGAAGAAGUAUUUCGGUAUGUAAAGCUCUAUCAGCAGGGAAGAAAAAAGACGGUACCUGACUAAGAAGCCCCGGCUAACUACGUGCCAGCAGCCGCGGUAAUACGUAGGGGGCAAGCGUUAUCCGGAUUUACUGGGUGUAAAGGGAGCGUAGACGGCUGUGCAAGUCUGAGGUGAAAGCCCAGG